This is a non-coding RNA of Microtus oregoni (creeping vole), 366 nucleotides long. The record is from the annotation of a RefSeq genome assembly. NCBI's taxonomy places the organism in Eukaryota, Metazoa, Chordata, Mammalia, Rodentia, Cricetidae.
AUGAAGACAUAUGUUCCUACUUUAUUGAUAUUCUUGUGGCUGCAACUGGAUGGUCUGAGCCAAGGCAAGCAGGUGGAGCAGCGUCCUUCCAUGCUGAGAGUCCAGGAGGGAUCCAUAGCUGUUAUCAACUGUACAUAUGUUGACAGUAUCUCGUACUACUUCCCUUGGUAUAAGCAAGAACCUGGAAAGCAUCCUAAGCCGAUUAUUGGCAUUCGUUCAAAUGUGGAAAGAAAGCAGGAACAAAGAUUGAUCAUUUCACAUGAUAAGAAAGCCAAACAAUUUUCUCUGCACAUCACAGACACCCAUCAAGGAGACUCUGCCAUGUACUUCUGUGCUACAAGGGCACACUGCUCUCCAGGCACCUAA